This 253-nucleotide ribosomal RNA is filed under the name uncultured bacterium. Its description in RNAcentral is "partial 16S ribosomal RNA". It matches the Rfam family "Bacterial small subunit ribosomal RNA", at positions 524 to 776 of the family's 1533-position model. The record is from RNAcentral.
UACGUAGGGGGCGAGCGUUGUCCGGAGUUACUGGGCGUAAAGGGCACGCAGGCGGUGCGGCGCGUUUCGCGUGACAGCGGAGGGCUUAACUCUCCGAGGAUGCGAAAGACGGCGGCACUUGAGGGCCAGAGAGGGACACGGAAUUCCGGGUGGAGUGGUGAAAUGCGUAGAUAUCUGGAGGAACACCGGUGGCGAAGGCGGCAUCCUGGACCGACACUGACACUGAGGAGCGAAAGCCAGGGGAGCAAACGGG